ACGCUCGACACCUACAGGAGGCAGCAGUGGGGAAUAUUGCACAAUGGGGGAAACCCUGAUGCAGCGACGCCGCGUGAAGGAAGAAGUAUCUCGGUAUGUAAACUUCUAUCAGCAGGGAAGAAAGUGACGGUACCUGACUAAGAAGCCCCGGCUAACUACGUGCUAGCAGCCGCGGUAAUCUGAGCGGGCUGGCAAGGC
RNAcentral lists this ribosomal RNA (198 nucleotides) under uncultured bacterium. Its description in RNAcentral is "partial 16S ribosomal RNA". It matches the Rfam family "Bacterial small subunit ribosomal RNA", at positions 328 to 539 of the family's 1533-position model. The record is from RNAcentral.